AGAGUUUGAUCCUGGCUCAGAACGAACGCUGGCGGCAGGCUUAACACAUGCAAGUCGAACGCCCCGCGAGGGGAGUGGCAGACGGGUGAGUAACGCGUGGGAAUCUACCGUGCCCUACGGAAUAACGCAUGGAAACGUGUGCUAAUACCGUAUACGCCCUUAGGGGGAAAGAUUUAUCGGGGUAUGAUGAGCCCGCGUUGGAUUAGCUAGUUGGUGGGGUAAAGGCCUACCAAGGCGACGAUCCAUAGCUGGUCUGAGAGGAUGAUCAGCCACAUUGGGACUGAGACACGGCCCAAACUCCUACGGGAGGCAGCAGUGGGGAAUAUUGGACAAUGGGCGCAAGCCUGAUCCAGCCAUGCCGCGUGAGUGAUGAAGGUCUUAGGAUUGUAAAGCUCUUUCACCGAUGAAGAUAAUGACGGUAGUCGGAGAAGAAGCCCCGGCUAACUUCGUGCCAGCAGCCGCGGUAAUACGAAGGGGGCUAGCGUUGUUCGGAAUUACUGGGCGUAAAGCGCACGUAGGCGGAUAUUUAAGUCAGGGGUGAAAUCCCGCAGCUCAACUGCGGAACUGCCUUUGAUACUGGGUAUCUCGAGUAUGGAAGAAGUGAGUGGAAUUCCGAGUGUAGAGGUGAAAUUCGUAGAUAUUCGGAGGAACACCAGUGGCGAANGCGGUUACUGGUCCAUUACUGACCCUGANGUGCCAAACGUGGGGAGCAAACANGAUUAGAUACCCUGUAGUCCACCCGUAACCAAUAAUGNUACCGUC
Molecule: ribosomal RNA, 762 nt
Filed under: uncultured bacterium
Lineage: Bacteria
Description: bacterial SSU rRNA
Rfam family: Bacterial small subunit ribosomal RNA
Source: RNAcentral